UGUAGCAAUACCUGGUGGCGACCGGCAAACGGGUGCGGAACACGUACAGAACCUACCUUUGUCUGGGGCAUAGCCCGGAGAAAUCCGGAUUAACUCCCCAUAAUAUAGCUGAGUGGCAUCACUUGACUAUUAAAAAUUUAUUGGACAGAGAUGGCUGUGCGUCCCAUUAGCUAGUUGGUAGGGUAACGGCCUACCAAGGCAACGAUGGGUAGCUGGUGUGAGAGCACGACCAGCCACACGGGCACUGAGACACGGGCCCGACUCCUACGGGAGGCAGCAGUGAGGAAUAUUGGUCAAUGGACGCAAGUCUGAACCAGCCAUGCCGCGUGAAGGAUGAAGGCCUUCUGGGUUGUAAACUUCUUUUAUGGGGGAAGAAAACUACGGUUUCUACUGUAGCCGACGGUACCCUAGGAAUAAGCACCGGCUAACUCCGUGCCAGCAGCCGCGGUAAUACGGAGGGUGCAAGCGUUAUCCGGAUUUACUGGGUUUAAAGGGUGUGUAGGCGGGCUAUUAAGUCAGUGGUGAAAUCUCCGGGCUCAACCUGGAAACUGCCAUUGAUACUAUUAGUCUUGAAUUUUGUUGAGGUAGGCGGAAUAAGUCAUGUAGCGGUGAAAUGCAUAGAUAUGACUUAGAACACCAAUUGCGAAGGCAGCUUGCUAAACAAACAUUGACGCUGAGGCACGAAAGCGUGGGGAUCAAACAGGAUUAGAUACCCUGGUAGUCCACGCCCUAAACGAUGAUUACUCGACAUACGCGAUACACAGUGUGUGUCUGAGCGAAAGCAUUAAGUAAUCCACCUGGGAAGUACGACCGCAA
This 816-nucleotide ribosomal RNA is filed under the name uncultured Sphingobacteriia bacterium. RNAcentral describes it as "bacterial SSU rRNA". It matches the Rfam family "Bacterial small subunit ribosomal RNA", at positions 75 to 891 of the family's 1533-position model. Lineage: Bacteria; Pseudomonadati; Bacteroidota; Sphingobacteriia. The record is from RNAcentral.